CUCACACAGACACAGAAACAGUGGAGAAGAUCCUGUGUGUCUGACAUGAAGGGAAGUGAGUGAAAAGGGAUAUGUCUCUUUGAGGAUGGACUACGCCUCUGAUGGGUUUUGGAAACUGACUCUGUUCAAUCCCUAAGGUGACCAAAACAACAUCAGGAAUAUUUGCAGCAUUAACCUCCUACCCUUGGACUUCUCUGCAUCCUGGGCUUUGGAGAACCAGAAGUUAGACACAAAUUAACUGAAAAGGUUUGGUGUUGACCCAUAGUGUUUCCAUGUAUGUUUUUGAGUAGAAUUCUCUGUCCUGUCAA
This 308-nucleotide long non-coding RNA is filed under the name Mus spicilegus (steppe mouse). RNAcentral's name for it is "lncRNA (ENSMSIG00000010511.1)". The record is from RNAcentral. Lineage: Eukaryota; Metazoa; Chordata; Mammalia; Rodentia; Muridae.